UGUAGUUUCCUGCCAGCUGCCACAAGGAAACAGUGAAGGAGGGAGGAACUAAGAGGUAGAGGGCUGCAACCACUGAACAUCACUGGUUUCUACCAAAGGAUCUGAGAAGCAAUCAAGCCAGACAUCUGCUAGAAGGGCAGUAAAGAGAGCCUAGCCAGAGAUAUUAAAAGAUAUAGAGGCAAUCUCUGAGCCACAAGGAAAGGUCAUGGAACGUCCCAUGUUCCUGUAGAAUGAGAUUGGGGUAGACGGCGAAUUCUCAGUUCUGUCAAGACAAAAAAACCAUUCAUCC
Molecule: long non-coding RNA, 289 nt
Organism: Mauremys reevesii (Reeves's turtle)
Lineage: Eukaryota; Metazoa; Chordata; Testudines; Geoemydidae
Exons: 3
Source: RefSeq, a predicted model, not a curated record